AAGUAAGCGAUGAAAAGAUAAGUACAGAACAGCAAGUCAUCUCAGAGAGCUCCUACAUGGUGGAAAGGAGCAUGACAGUCUGCCUGGAAAAUGGUCUUUGAGCUGGAUAGGUGAGUGGAAACAUAAGCCUAUCCCGGUUGCACCCGGUAACGUGCCUAAGUAUGCAGAUGAACUGUCAGCGGCUGACGUAUUUUCAAUAAAAUCGUCAGUCCGCAAACAGAACGAUCUAAGUACUGGAAGAGGCCACUUCAGUGAUGGAGUGGUAAACAAAGGUGGAACCGCGAAUAGACCUAUUCGCCCUUUUU
RNAcentral lists this non-coding RNA (305 nucleotides) under Alkalibacterium sp. Its description in RNAcentral is "T-box sequence". It matches the Rfam family "T-box leader". From Rfam's summary of the family: Uncharged tRNA acts as the effector for transcription antitermination of genes in the T-box leader family. The record is from RNAcentral. Lineage: Bacteria; Bacillati; Bacillota; Bacilli; Lactobacillales; Carnobacteriaceae.